GCAUGGGCAGUUAUGGAAGGCAUGGGCAGUUAUGGAAGACAUGGGCAGUUAUGGAAGGCAUGGGCAGUUAUGGAAGGCAUAGGCAGUUAUGGAAGGCAUGGGCAGUUAUGGAAGACAUGGGCAGUUAUGGAAGGCAUGGGCAGUUAUGGAAGGCAUGGGCAGUUAUGGAAGACAUGGGCAGUUAUGGAAGGCAUGGGCAGUUAUGGAAGGCAUGGGCAGUUAUGGAAGACAUGGGCAGUUAUGGAAGACAUGGGCAGUUAUGGAAGACAUGGGCAAUUAUGGAAGGCAUGGGCAG
Long non-coding RNA from Oncorhynchus tshawytscha (Chinook salmon), 295 nucleotides. Lineage: Eukaryota; Metazoa; Chordata; Actinopteri; Salmoniformes; Salmonidae. The record is from Ensembl.